GACGUGCUUGCACUGAAUGAGAUUUUAACACGAAGUGAGUGGCGGACGGGUGAGUAACACGUGGGUAACCUGCCCAGAAGCAGGGGAUAACACCUGGAAACAGAUGCUAAUACCGUAUAACAGAGAAAACCGCCUGGUUUUCUUUUAAAAGAUGGCUCUGCUAUCACUUCUGGAUGGACCCGCGGCGCAUUAGCUAGUUGGUGAGGUAACGGCUCACCAAGGCGAUGAUGCGUAGCCGACCUGAGAGGGUAAUCGGCCACAUUGGGACUGAGACACGGCCCAGACUCCUACGGGAGGCAGCAGUAGGGAAUCUUCCACAAUGGACGCAAGUCUGAUGGAGCAACGCCGCGUGAGUGAAGAAGGGUUUCGGCUCGUAAAGCUCUGUUGUUAAAGAAGAACGUGGGUGAGAGUAACUGUUCACCCAGUGACGGUAUUUAACCAGAAAGCCACGGCUAACUACGUGCCAGCAGCCGCGGUAAUACGUAGGUGGCAAGCGUUAUCCGGAUUUAUUGGGCGUAAAGCGAGCGCAGGCGGUCUUUUAAGUCUAAUGUGAAAGCCUUCGGCUCAACCGAAGAAGUGCAUUGGAAACUGGGAGACUUGAGUGCAGAAGAGGACAGUGGAACUCCAUGUGUAGCGGUGAAAUGCGUAGAUAUAUGGAAGAACACCAGUGGCGAAGGCGGCUGUCUGGUCUGUAACUGACGCUGAGGCUCGAAAGCAUGGGUAGCGAACAGGAUUAGAUACCCUGGUAGUCCAUGAUGCCGUAAACGAUGAUUACUAAGUGUUGGAGGGUUUCCGCCCUUCAGUGCUGCAGCUAACGCAUUAAGUAAUCCGCCUGGGGAGUACGACCGCAAGGUUGAAACUCAAAAGAAUUGACGGGGGCCCGCACAAGCGGUGGAGCAUGUGGUUUAAUUCGAAGCUACGCGAAGAACCUUACCAGGUCUUGACAUCUUCUGCCAACCUAAGAGAUUAGGCGUUCCCUUCGGGGACAGAAUGACAGGUGGUGCAUGGUUGUCGUCAGCUCGUGUCGUGAGAUGUUGGGUUAAGUCCCGCAACGAGCGCAACCCUUAUUACUAGUUGCCAGCAUUCAGUUGGGCACUCUAGUGAGACUGCCGGUGACAAACCGGAGGAAGGUGGGGACGACGUCAAAUCAUCAUGCCCCUUAUGACCUGGGCUACACACGUGCUACAAUGGAUGGUACAACGAGUUGCGAAACCGCGAGGUUUAGCUAAUCUCUUAAAACCAUUCUCAGUUCGGACUGUAGGCUGCAACUCGCCUACACGAAGUCGGAAUCGCUAGUAAUCGCGGAUCAGCAUGCCGCGGUGAAUACGUUCCCGGGCCUUGUACACACCGCCCGUCACACCAUGAGAGUUUGUAACACCCAAAGCCGGUGGGGUAACCUUUUAGGAGCUAGCCGUCUAAGGUGGACAGAUGAU
This 1433-nucleotide ribosomal RNA is filed under the name Pediococcus acidilactici. RNAcentral's name for it is "bacterial SSU rRNA". It matches the Rfam family "Bacterial small subunit ribosomal RNA". The record is from RNAcentral. Lineage: Bacteria; Bacillati; Bacillota; Bacilli; Lactobacillales; Lactobacillaceae.